RNAcentral lists this ribosomal RNA (740 nucleotides) under Dietzia cercidiphylli. Its description in RNAcentral is "bacterial SSU rRNA". It matches the Rfam family "Bacterial small subunit ribosomal RNA", at positions 72 to 828 of the family's 1533-position model. The record is from RNAcentral. Lineage: Bacteria; Bacillati; Actinomycetota; Actinomycetes; Mycobacteriales; Dietziaceae.
AGGCCCUUUCGGGGGUACACGAGUGGCGAACGGGUGAGUAACACGUGGGUAAUCUGCCCUGCACUUCGGGAUAAGCCUGGGAAACCGGGUCUAAUACCGGAUAUGAGCUCCUGCCGCAUGGUGGGGGUUGGAAAGUUUUUCGGUGCAGGAUGAGUCCGCGGCCUAUCAGCUUGUUGGUGGGGUAAUGGCCUACCAAGGCGACGACGGGUAGCCGGCCUGAGAGGGUGAUCGGCCACACUGGGACUGAGACACGGCCCAGACUCCUACGGGAGGCAGCAGUGGGGAAUAUUGCACAAUGGGCGAAAGCCUGAUGCAGCGACGCCGCGUGGGGGAUGACGGUCUUCGGAUUGUAAACUCCUUUCAGUAGGGACGAAGCGAAAGUGACGGUACCUGCAGAAGAAGCACCGGCCAACUACGUGCCAGCAGCCGCGGUAAUACGUAGGGUGCAAGCGUUGUCCGGAAUUACUGGGCGUAAAGAGCUCGUAGGCGGUUUGUCACGUCGUCUGUGAAAUCCUCCAGCUCAACUGGGGGCGUGCAGGCGAUACGGGCAGACUUGAGUACUACAGGGGAGACUGGAAUUCCUGGUGUAGCGGUGAAAUGCGCAGAUAUCAGGAGGAACACCGGUGGCGAAGGCGGGUCUCUGGGUAGUAACUGACGCUGAGGAGCGAAAGCAUGGGGAGCAAACAGGAUUAGAUACCCUGGUAGUCCAUGCCGUAAACGGUGGGCGCUAGGUGUGGGGU